RNAcentral lists this ribosomal RNA (253 nucleotides) under uncultured bacterium. Its description in RNAcentral is "partial 16S ribosomal RNA". It matches the Rfam family "Bacterial small subunit ribosomal RNA", at positions 524 to 776 of the family's 1533-position model. The record is from RNAcentral.
UACAGAGGGGGCAAGCGUUAUUCGGAAUUACUGGGCGUAAAGUGUGCGCAGGUGGCUUCGCAAGUCGAGUGUGAAAUCCCCGGGCUUAACCUGGGAAUUGCGCUCGAAACUACGGAGCUGGAGUAUGGCAGAGGGAGGUGGAAUUCCACGUGUAGCGGUGAAAUGCGUAGAGAUGUGGAGGAACACCAAUGGCGAAGGCAGCCUCCUGGGCCAAUACUGACACUCAUGCACGAAAGCGUGGGGAGCAAACAGG